CGAUAUUUUCUGGCCAUAAGUGAAUACCCCGAGUAGACAGAUAGGAACAAUGAUCAGAAGUAGGAGAAAGAGUAUCUUUGGCGGUGUUCGUCUAGGCGUGGGGCGGUAGGGUCGUGCGGCCAUUCUUUGUAGGAUCAUGGUAAGAAUCUGAUCAGAAGUAGGAGAAAGAGUAUCUUUGGCGGUGUUCGUCUAGGCGUGGGGCGGUAGGGUCGUGCGGCCAUUCUUUGUAGGAUCAUGGUAAGAAUCUAACAGUAACAUCUUCAGUACGAUCAAUUAAAAUACUUGAGCAGUGCGGGAGCCUGGGGAAUGGGACGAGUAAACUCCCCUGGGCCAGAAAA
RNAcentral lists this long non-coding RNA (338 nucleotides) under Eucalyptus grandis. RNAcentral describes it as "long non-coding RNA (EGRA_LNC001413)". Lineage: Eukaryota; Viridiplantae; Streptophyta; Magnoliopsida; Myrtales; Myrtaceae. The record is from RNAcentral.